CCUACGGGGUGCAGCAGUGAGGAAUAUUGGUCAAUGGACGAGAGUCUGAACCAGCCAAGUAGCGUGAAGGAUGACUGCCCUAUGGGUUGUAAACUUUUUUUAUAAAGGAAUAAAACGAGGCACGUGUGCCUUUUUGCAUGUACUUUAUGAAUAAGGAUCGGCUAACUCCGUGCCAGCAGCCGCGGUAAUACGGAGGAUCCGAGCGUUAUCCGGAUUUAUUGGGUUUAAAGGGAGCGUAGAUGGGUUGUUAAGUCAGUUGUGAAAGUUUGCGGCUCAACCGUAAAAUUGCAAUUGAUACUGGUAGUCUUGAGUACAGUUGAGGUAGGCGGAAUGCGUGGUGUAGCGGUGAAAUGCUUAGAUAUCACGAAGAACCCCGAUUGCGAAGGCAGCUUACUAAACUGUGACUGACAUUGAUGCUCGAAAGUGUGGGUAUCAAACAGGAUUAGAUACCCGGGUAGUC
RNAcentral lists this ribosomal RNA (460 nucleotides) under uncultured bacterium. RNAcentral's name for it is "partial 16S ribosomal RNA". It matches the Rfam family "Bacterial small subunit ribosomal RNA", at positions 338 to 795 of the family's 1533-position model. The record is from RNAcentral.